UACGUAGGGUGCGAGCGUUAAUCGGAAUUACUGGGCGUAAAGCGUGCGCAGGCGGUUUUGUAAGCCAGAUGUGAAAUCCCCGGGCUUAACCUGGGAAUGGCAUUUGGGACUGCAAGGCUUGAGUGCGGCAGAGGAGACUAGAAUUCCUGGUGUAGCAGUGAAAUGCGUAGAUAUCAGGAGGAAUACCGAUGGCGAAGGCAGGUCUCUGGGCUGACACUGACGCUCAGGAGCGAAAGCGUGGGGAGCGAACAGG
Molecule: ribosomal RNA, 253 nt
Filed under: uncultured bacterium
Lineage: Bacteria
Description: partial 16S ribosomal RNA
Rfam family: Bacterial small subunit ribosomal RNA
Source: RNAcentral